This is a non-coding RNA of Emydomyces testavorans, 90 nucleotides long. NCBI's taxonomy places the organism in Eukaryota, Fungi, Ascomycota, Eurotiomycetes, Onygenales, Nannizziopsiaceae. The record is from the annotation of a GenBank genome assembly.
GCGGCUUUAACUCAGUUGGGAGAGUGUCAGACUGAAGUCCACUUCAGCCCCGUGAUCUGAAAGUCGCCUGUUCGAUCCAGGCAAGCCGCA